UCUUAGUUGCCAGCGAGUAAUGUCGGGGACUCUAAGGAGACUGCCGGUGCAAACCGUGAGGAAGGUGGGGAUGACGUCAGGUCAGCACGGCCCUUACGUCCAGGGCUACACACGUGCUACAAUGGCAGGUACAGAGGGCAGCUACAUAGCGAUAUGAUGCGAAUCUUCAAAGCCUGUCUCAGUUCGGAUCGAAGUCUGAAACUCGACUUCGUGAAGCUGGAAUCGCUAGUAAUCG
RNAcentral lists this ribosomal RNA (235 nucleotides) under Schmidingerella taraikaensis. RNAcentral's name for it is "partial Bacterial small subunit ribosomal RNA". It matches the Rfam family "Bacterial small subunit ribosomal RNA", at positions 1109 to 1344 of the family's 1533-position model. Lineage: Eukaryota; Ciliophora; Spirotrichea; Tintinnida; Rhabdonellidae. The record is from RNAcentral.